CCUACGGGCGGCAGCAGUGAGGAAUAUUGGUCAAUGGCCGCAGGGCUGAACCAGCCAAGUCGCGUGAGGGAUGACGGUCCUAUGGAUUGUAAACCUCUUUUGUCAGGGAGCAAAGGGCGCCACGUGUGGCGUUUUGCGAGUACCUGACGAACAAGCAUCGGCUAACUCCGUGCCAGCAGCCGCGGUAAUACGGAGGAUGCGAGCGGUAUCCGGAUUGAUUGGGUGGAAAGGGUGCGCAGGCGGAAUGGCAAGUCAGCGGUAAAAUUGCGGGGCUCAACCCCGUCGUGCCGUUGAAACUGGCGUUAGUGAGUGAGCGAGAAGUAUGCGGAAUGCGUGGUGUAGCGGUGAAAUGCAUAGAUAUCACGCAGAACGCCGAUUGCGAAGGGAGCAGACCGGCGCUCAACUGACGCUCAUGCACGAAAGCGUGGGUAUCGAACAGGAUUAGAUACCCCC
This 453-nucleotide ribosomal RNA is filed under the name uncultured bacterium. Its description in RNAcentral is "partial 16S ribosomal RNA". It matches the Rfam family "Bacterial small subunit ribosomal RNA", at positions 338 to 789 of the family's 1533-position model. The record is from RNAcentral.